Daktulosphaira vitifoliae (grape phylloxera) is the source of this 547-nucleotide long non-coding RNA. RefSeq lists it as uncharacterized. The transcript is spliced from 2 exons. NCBI's taxonomy places the organism in Eukaryota, Metazoa, Arthropoda, Insecta, Hemiptera, Phylloxeridae. The record is from RefSeq and is a predicted model, not a curated record.
CAGUAUCCCUUCGGCAAAAACCCGAUUCAGCCGUUUUUUACGAUUGCUCACGUGGCGAAUACUAUCGGUUUUGAAUAUUUAGGUUUCAAACGUUUCUCAACCACUGGAGCCGAUAGUCACACCAUAAGAAACAAUUUACAAAGUCUUAACAUACAAAAUAACAUGUGCUGCACUCUAUGCUAUAUAAAAAAUUGUAGCUAAAGUAUUAUCGAAUGCAACGCCAUCUUCUUCUGAGUUUUUGAAUCAUAGAGCAAAGAAUUACAUCAAGACAGAGAACUCUGGACAAUAAAAUAGACUCAAUGCUACGAAUAAAAUGUUAUAAUAUUUUUUAUUAUAGUCCUUUAACUAUAAACUUCCUUUGGCUUAUAACAUACACAAAUAUUUAGGAAAUUUAAAAACUAUUACAUCAAUUUAUUUAUUUUUAUUUAUAAAUUUCCCGAUUAAAAUGUUAAUUAAAUUAAUGAAGUAUUAAAAUAUAUAAAAUUAAUUAUAUAUUAAUGUAUAAUUGUAAAGAAAAAAUGAAAUAUAAAUAUUCUAGUAGCUUUUA